AUUGAACGCUGGCGGCAGGCCUAACACAUGCAAGUCGAACGAGUGGCGGACGGGUGAGUAAUGUCUGGGAAACUGCCUGCUGGAGGGGGAUAACUACUGGAAACUGUAGCUAAUAACGCCUACCAUCGGAUGUGCCCGGAUGGGAUUAGCUAGUAGGUGGGGUAAAGUCUCACCUAGGCGACGAUCCCUAGCUGGUCUGAGAGGAUGACAGUCCACACUGGAACUGAGACACGGUCCAGACGCCUACGUGCGGCAGCAGGGGGGAAUAUUGCACAAUGGGCGCAAGCCUGAUGCAGCCAUGCCGCGUGUAUGAAGAAGGCCUUCGGGUUGUAAAGUACUUUCAGCGGGGAGGCGUUACCCGCAGAAGAAGCACCGGCUAACUCCGUGCCAGCAGCCGCGGUAAUUC
This 406-nucleotide ribosomal RNA is filed under the name uncultured bacterium. Its description in RNAcentral is "partial 16S ribosomal RNA". It matches the Rfam family "Bacterial small subunit ribosomal RNA", at positions 30 to 526 of the family's 1533-position model. The record is from RNAcentral.